GUGCUGCAAGGACCAGCUCUGGAAGUUACAGCAAUGGCAGCUAGGUCGUUGCUUCCGGCCGUUCUCCUCCUGGGCCUCCUCUUAAGCCGCGCCGGCUCCAGCCCUCCGCCGGAGCCGGUGGUUUGCGCCCGUGGCAUGUCCGACUGCACCGUCACCAACGUGUAUGGCUCUUUCCCGGACCGCACCAUCUGCCCCGCGGCCAACGCCACGUUCCCGCGCACCGAGGAGGAGCUCGUGGCCGCCGUGGCGGCUGCCGCGGCGAUGAAGCGCAAGGUGAAGGUGGCCACCAGGCACUCCCACAGCUUCCCCAAGCUAGCCUGCCCUGGCGGCCGCGAAGGCACGAUCAUCAGCACGGAGCGGCUCAACCGGACGGUGAGCGUCGACACUGCCAAGGGGCUGAUGACCGUCGAGAGCGGCAUGGUGCUCCGGGACCUGAUCCACGCCGCCGCAGCCGCCGGUCUCGCGCUGCCGCACUCGCCGUACUGGUACGGCCUCACCAUCGGGGGGCUGCUGGCGACGGGCGCGCACGGGAGCUCGCUGUGGGGAAAGGGCAGCGCCGUGCACGAGUACGUGGUCGGGAUGAGGAUCGUGACGCCGGCGCCAGCGAGCCAGGGAUUCGCUGUGGUCAGGGAGCUCGGCUCCAAGCACCCUGACCUCGACGCGACCAAGGUCUCCCUCGGCGUUCUUGGCGUCGUCUCCCAGGUUACUCUGCAGUUGCAGCCGAUGUUCAAGCGCUCGGUCACGUUCGUGGAGCGCGACGACUCAGACUUCGCGGCGCAGGUGGCUGUGUGGGGCGAUCGGCACGAGUUUGGCGACAUGACGUGGCUGCCGUGGCAGGCCAAGGUCAUCUACCGCGAGGACGGACGCGUUGAUGUCUCAUCGCCUGGCAAUGGCUUCAACAACUACCUCGGCUUCCGCUCUAACCCGACGCUCGGGCUCAUCAUUGCCAGAGCCGCGGAGGAGCGCCUAGAGGAGGACGGCGACGACAUCACACGGUGCCUGGCGGCGCUGGUGCCCGCAGCGACGUUCAAGCUGCAGGGGUACGGCUUCACGAACGACGGCUCCUUCUUCACCGGAUACCCGGUGGUCGGGUACCAGCACCGCAUCCAGGCGUCUGGCACAUGCAUUGACGGCAAGGAGGACGGGCUCCUUUCCUCGUGCCCGUGGGACCCACGCAUCCGGAGCUUCUUCUUCUACAACUCUGGCUUCAGUGUUGCGCUCUCCAAAGCUCCGGCAUUGGUUGCCGACAUGCGGCGACUCCGUGACCUCAGCCCGCGUGCCUUAUGUGGUUUGGACGCCAAGAUGGGUCUGCUCGUCCGCUAUGUCAGGGCCUCAUCUGCCUACCUCGGCAAGGUGGAGGACUCGGUCGACUUCGACAUCACCUACUACCGGAGCUACACCGAAGGCACGCUGCGAGCGCAUUCUGAUGUAAUCGACGAGCUCGAACAACUAGCUUUGCGAAAGUACAACGCCGUCCCACACUGGGGCAAGAACCGCAACUUUGCCUUCGACGGUGCCAUCACCAAGUACGCAAAGACCGGCGAGUUCCUCAAGGUGAAGGAGAGGUAUGACCCUGACGGGAUCUUCUCUAGCGAGUGGAGCGACCAGGUGCUUGGCAUCAAGGGGAGCCCAAACAUUGUCCAGAAGGGUUGCGCCAUGGAAGGGUACUGCAUCUGCUCUGACGAGUCGCACUGCGCGCCAGAACAGGGCUAUUUCUGUCGGCCGGGAAAGGUGUAUGCAGAGGCGAGGAUUUGCUCGCUCCAACCUGCCUCUGGACACACGCACACCAAUCACCAGGAUGAACUGUGA
RNAcentral lists this ribosomal RNA (1809 nucleotides) under Triticum aestivum (bread wheat). Its description in RNAcentral is "partial small subunit ribosomal RNA". The record is from RNAcentral. Lineage: Eukaryota; Viridiplantae; Streptophyta; Magnoliopsida; Poales; Poaceae.